Capsicum annuum is the source of this 1435-nucleotide long non-coding RNA. RefSeq lists it as uncharacterized. The record is from RefSeq and is a predicted model, not a curated record. The transcript has 8 exons. Lineage: Eukaryota; Viridiplantae; Streptophyta; Magnoliopsida; Solanales; Solanaceae.
UAAAGCACACAGGAGUUCGUCUUCGUGCUUUCUUAAAGCAAGGGCAUUUCUAUCUUUUCAGUGAUUCUUUUGUCUAUUAUUUUACUUGAUGUUUCAAUUAGUUUUUCCAAUGUUUUGACCACUUCACGCCUCUCUCCAUUAAACCCUCCGUAACCGCCUCACACCGCUUCCACAAGAAAUUAUGAUCCAAAAUCAGCGCAUGAAACUCAUUAAAAAAACAAAUUUCUGAAGUAGCGUAUGACGUAUAAGUGCAGAUCUCAGCUGAAUUUGGGAGUUUUCCCCUCUUCCUUGGCUACAGAGAUUUGCAUGUUUUCUUGGGUUCGUUUGAAAAGACGUCUCCUUAUUGGCAUAUCUUCACUUUCAAAUCAACCUUUUGUAGAAACGUAUGAUAAGGCUAAAGGAGUUUGUAGUGGGAUAAUAGGAUAUAGAAUCAGCCGGCUUUGUUGGGAAGCUCUUUAUCCCCUCAAUCAAUAACUAUGUCUUUGAAUAAAAAGAUCACCAGUCUAGCUACUUGCUCACCGAAAAAACGCUGUCAAUACACGACAGAUAAAGCUUCUGCUAUCAACAACAGGUGACGUGGCCUAUAUAGGCAACUGGCAUCUGAUAAAAAAGAAGCGCUUCUCCUGUAACGGCGUAUAAGAUAUAAAGAAUCAAACACUCAAAACCUUCUGAGUAGUGCUCCUGCUCCAUUAGCUGCUGCUGGACCCCAAUUUAGUGCGCAAAGAGGCAUUACAAUCAUAGAGAUAUCACCGCACUGUGAAAUAGGCAAUGCACUUUGCAACAACUGUUACACGAUUGAAUCAAAUAAAGGGAAGGAUAUAAUUGGUUUCUUCUCUACUUUUGAAGUCGGCUCAACAUCAGCUCUACCCACUGAACAGCAUAACCCAAGCACAACAGCUACCGGCGCUACAGGCUUGGCAACACUUGCACAUCAAUGGCAUACUCGAAAGACAAUAUCUCCUAAAACCAAAGGUUGUUGUUAUAAGAAUGUCACUUCAUUGUUAAGGUUGUGCUAGUAAAGUGAAGAAACAUCUCUCCAAAGCUGGAAGUUUAUGCUGUUUUUAGUUUGGCCUACAAGCACUAGCCAGCUAUAAUAUUCAUUGACGAAGUUGACAGUUUUUUGGGCCAGCAUCGUGCAACAGAGGCUCAAAUGCUGACUGGGACUUGUUUUCCAAAAUGCACAGUUUCUACUUGUGUUGAAGCUUCGGGUACUUUUCAUGGCUCUAUUGACAUCCAAGCUACACUGAGACUUGUUCUGAAUAGCUACAAUUAUCUAAUAAUCUUAUUUUGUUGAAUUAUAGUGUUAUUACAAAGUUAUAAAUGCAAGAUCCAUGUAUGAUUGCUUUAAUGCCUUCGAAUAACUCAAUCGUGUUUACUAAUGCGAUUGAAGUUGAUUGAAGUUGUAUCUACAUCUCCACCAGCCCUUUUAAUGGCC